CGGUAAAACAGAACCCCCAAGCGUUAUCCGGAUUCAUUGGGCGUAAAGCGUCUGUAGCCGGCUUAGAAAGUCUAUAGUUAAAUACCAAGAGCUCAACUUUUGGAAUGCUAUGGAAACUUCUAAACUAGAGGGUGUUAGGGGUUGAUGGAACUCUUGGUGGAGGGGUGAAAUCCGUUGAUAUCAAGAGGAACACCAAAAGCGAAGGCAUUCAACUGGGGCAACCCUGACGGUGAGAGACGAAAGCGUGGGGAGCGAAGAGGAUUAGAUACCCUCGUAGUCCACGCUGUAAACGAUGGAUACUAGCUAUGUGAAGUGUCGACCCUUCACGUGGCGAAGCUAACGCGUUAAGUAUCCCGCCUGGGAAGUACGGCCGCAAGGCUAAAACUCAAAGGAAUAGACGGGGACCUACACAAGCGGUGGAUCAUGUGGCUUAAUUCGUCAGCAAGCGAGGAACCUUACCAGGGCUGGAAACACUCGUGAACCUCAUCAGAAACGAUGAGCUACCCACAAGGACACGAGUUCAGGUGUUGCACGGCUGUCGUCAGCAUGUACCUUGAGGCGCUCCGUUAAAUCGGGCAACAUGCGCAACCCCUAUCCUGUGUUUUAUAUGUCACAGGAAACUGCCUUCGACAAGAAGGAGGAAGGUGGGGACGACGCCAAGUCAGCGUGAUCCUUUGAUGUCCUGGGCUGCACACAUGAUACAAUGGGGCCGACAACGGGUUGCGAGAGAGUAAUCUUUAGCUAAUCCCUUAAACGGUCUCUCAGUUCGGAUCGAGGUCUGAAAUUCGACCUCGUGAAGCCGGAAUCGCUAGUAAUCGCGUAUCAGCCACGGCGCGAUGAAUACGUUCCUAGG
This 853-nucleotide ribosomal RNA is filed under the name uncultured bacterium. RNAcentral describes it as "bacterial SSU rRNA". It matches the Rfam family "Bacterial small subunit ribosomal RNA", at positions 518 to 1378 of the family's 1533-position model. The record is from RNAcentral.